GACGAACGCUGGCGGCGUGCUUAACACAUGCAAGUCGAACGGAAAGGCCCUGCUUUUGUGGGGUGCUCGAGUGGCGAACGGGUGAGUAACACGUGAGUAACCUGCCCUUGACUUUGGGAUAACUUCAGGAAACUGGGGCUAAUACCGGAUAGGAGCUCCUGCUGCAUGGUGGGGGUUGGAAAGUUUCGGCGGUUGGGGAUGGACUCGCGGCUUAUCAGCUUGUUGGUGGGGUAGUGGCUUACCAAGGCUUUGACGGGUAGCCGGCCUGAGAGGGUGACCGGCCACAUUGGGACUGAGAUACGGCCCAGACUCGUACGUGAGGCAGCAGUGGGGAAUAUUGCACAAUGGGCGGAAGCCUGAUGCAGCAACGCCGCGUGCGGGAUGACGGCCUUCGGGUUGUAAACCGCUUUCGCCUGUGACGAAGCGUGAGUGACGGUAAUGGGUAAAGAAGCACCGGCUAACUACGUG
This 468-nucleotide ribosomal RNA is filed under the name uncultured bacterium. RNAcentral's name for it is "partial 16S ribosomal RNA". It matches the Rfam family "Bacterial small subunit ribosomal RNA", at positions 28 to 507 of the family's 1533-position model. The record is from RNAcentral.